Molecule: non-coding RNA, 77 nt
Organism: Phrynosoma platyrhinos (Desert horned lizard)
Lineage: Eukaryota; Metazoa; Chordata; Lepidosauria; Squamata; Phrynosomatidae
Source: the annotation of a GenBank genome assembly
CCCAAAGUGGUGUAGUGGUUUGAAUAUUGGACUGGGACUCCAGGGAUCUGGAUUCAAAUUCGUGCUCAGCCAUGGGA